Molecule: long non-coding RNA, 553 nt
Filed under: Oreochromis niloticus (Nile tilapia)
Lineage: Eukaryota; Metazoa; Chordata; Actinopteri; Cichliformes; Cichlidae
Description: lncRNA (ENSONIG00000032126.1)
Source: RNAcentral
UUUCUAUGAUGAUGCUUUUAGUGAAAGUGUCAGCUGAUAUGAAAGCACAGCUUGGAGUGAUGACAUGUCUCUGUUCUGUUUCCUUCUUUCUAUUCCUUUAGUUGUACACAAAGUAAAGGUUCACAUAGUCACUGCAGGAGAAACCUUUGGGGCUGACAAUGUUCUGCUGACGGACCUUGCGGGUCUACAGGUGGAGAGCACAGACCAGCAAGGAUGCAGCAUCAUCAUUCUUUUCUGUCCAAUCAGCUCUUGUGUUGGGUCAGACAUGAAGGCAGCUAUGAAGAAGGUGUCAGGUGACAAACCAGUCAUUCUGGUUCUGAUGCACCACACACGAAAUCCUGACUACUCAACAUGUGGGGAAAGCCAGUGUUCAGUCUAUCAGAACGUUGUCCUGGUUGUCCAUGUUCUCUUCCAUGAAAGUGUGAAAGGACUACUGAGAAGUUCAAAAAACAGUGAGGCAGUCCGACAGAUACACUAUAAACUACUGCAGUACAGUAGCAUUAGCAGGCUCAGAAAUGACCAGGGGACCCAGGAUAUGAGCCAAUCGUCAUGA